UGGUGGGUUGCCUUGUCAGGUUGAUUCCGGUAACGAACGAGACCUCAGCCUGCUAAAUAGUCACACCUGCCUUUGGCAGGCGGCAGACUUCUUAGAGGGACUAUUGUCGUUUAGGCAAUGGAAGUAUGAGGCAAUAACA
This 139-nucleotide ribosomal RNA is filed under the name uncultured eukaryote. RNAcentral describes it as "partial 18S ribosomal RNA". It matches the Rfam family "Eukaryotic small subunit ribosomal RNA", at positions 1299 to 1458 of the family's 1831-position model. The record is from RNAcentral.